Molecule: microRNA precursor, 53 nt
Filed under: Heligmosomoides polygyrus
Lineage: Eukaryota; Metazoa; Nematoda; Chromadorea; Rhabditida; Heligmosomidae
Description: microRNA hpo-mir-10045 precursor
Source: miRBase by way of RNAcentral
GCCUAGUUCUGUGCUCUCCGCCGCGUCACUGGCGGAGAGCACAGAACUAGGCA